RNAcentral lists this long non-coding RNA (1324 nucleotides) under Homo sapiens (human). RNAcentral describes it as "HSALNT0358113". The record is from RNAcentral. Lineage: Eukaryota; Metazoa; Chordata; Mammalia; Primates; Hominidae.
GGAGGUAACUGAAUCAUAGGGGCAGGUUUUUCCUGCACUGUUCUCAUGAUAGUGAGUAAGUCUCCCAAGAUCUGAUGGUUUUAUAAAGGGCAGUUCCCCUGCACAUGAUCUCUUGCCUGCUGACAUGUAAGAGAUGACUUUGCUUCUCCUUCGCCUUCUGCCAUGACUAUGAGGCCUCCCCAGUCAUGUGAACCUGAACGAUGAAAUGACAUGCGUUUGGAGAAUGUGUGGUGGAUACAAGAGCAUAUUAAUGUUAAACUCCAAAAAUAUUUUUAUCUCAAAGAUUGAAAACAAGAUAAAGAUGAAGGACUCUACAAAAUAGAAGUCAAUUGUGGAAGGAAAUGUCAUAUUCAACAUCUUAAUGAGGAAUAGGGUCGAGGAGUGAAAAGAAGACAGGAUUCAGUCAGAAGAGCUGAGUUCUGGUUCCUCCACAUAAUACCAUGGCUGUAGAAGUGACACAUAUUCUAAGCCUCAAUUUUUUGGCUGACUUUCCUCAUUCAUAAGGUUGUUGUGAAAAACAAAGCAAAACUAAUCAAUAUGAGUAAACUGCUAUGAAACACUGUCUAUUAUAUGUUUUCUUGAUAAACAUUUAUUGAGUGCUGUCUUUCAGUUGGUCUCCUGUGUUAGUAGCUUGUCAUACAGAGCUUCAAGAAGUCAAGCUUCAGGCCAUAGUCACAAAGAAUUCAGCUCUGAUUUGGAGAGAUAAAUAAGUACUUAGGGUGAGGUUGUGUACUAACAAACCCACUGUAAAGUCAAAAAAUUGUAAGCCAAACCGUCAAAAGUAAGAGACUGUAUAUGUAACUAUGUGUGUGUGUGUUGUUGUUUUUAAGAUGUGUUUUGGACAAACGAAAGUAAAAUCUCAUUUAAAAGAUUGAUUUUAAAAGCUUCCUCAAAGUUUUGUCAGUGCAUUAUUAGAGAUCCAGCCCAAUAUUUGUCAUCAUUUGUAUCUAUUAUUGCAGACAAUGAGAAUAAAUGUUUACAAGGUGAUGCAGCUAUGCUAUGUGAAUCACCAAAGAUUAAAUAAUCAUCAGUAUACAUUUGUGUGACAUAUUUUUGCUUGUAUUUUAUAGAUGUAAAAACAAAUAAUUCAUCUAUAAUAAAAAUGAUUGGCUGGGCGCAGUGGCUCACGCCUGUAAUCCCAGCCCUUUGGGAGGCCGAUGUGGGCGGAUCAUGUGGUCCGGAGACCGAGACCAUCCUGGCUAACAUGGUGAAACCCCGUCUCUACUAAAAAUACAAAAAAUUAGCCGGGCGUGGUGACAGGUGCCUGUAGUCCCAGCUACUCGGAAGGCUGAGGCAGGAGAAUGGGUGAACCCCAGAGGCGGAG